GAUGAACGCUGGCGGCGUGCCUAAUACAUGCAAGUCGAGCGAACGGACGAGAAGCUUGCUUCUCUGAUGUUAGCGGCUGACGGGUGAGUAACACGUGGAUAACCUACCUAUAUGACUGGGAUAACUUCGUGAAACCGUAGCUAAUACCGGAUAAUAUUUUGAACCGCAUGGUUCAAAAGUUAAAGACGGUCUUGCUGUCACUUAUAGAUGGAUCCGCGCUGCAUUAGCUAGUUGGUAAGGUAACGGCUUACCAAGGCAACGAUGCAUAGCCGACCUGAGAGGAUGAUCGGCCACACUGGAACUGAGACACGGUCCAGACUCCUACGGGAGGCAGCAGUAGGGAAUCUUCCGCAAUGGGCGAAAGCCUGACGGAGCAACGCCGCGUGAGUGAUGAAGGUCUUCGGAUCGUAAAGCUCUGUUAUUAGGGAAGAACAGAUGUGUAAGUAACUGUGGACAUCUUGACGGUACCUAAUCAGAAAGCCACGGCUAACUACGUG
This 497-nucleotide ribosomal RNA is filed under the name uncultured bacterium. Its description in RNAcentral is "partial 16S ribosomal RNA". It matches the Rfam family "Bacterial small subunit ribosomal RNA", at positions 28 to 507 of the family's 1533-position model. The record is from RNAcentral.